GCGGCGGACGCCUGAGUAAUGUCUGGGAAACUGCCUGAUGGAGGGGGAUAACUACUGGAAACGGUAGCUAAUACCGCAUAACGUCGCAAGACCAAAGUGGGGGACCUUCGGGCCUCAUGCCAUCAGAUGUGCCCAGAUGGGAUUAGCUAGUAGGUGGGGUAAUGGCUCACCUAGGCGACGAUCCCUAGCUGGUCUGAGAGGAUGACCAGCCACACUGGAACUGAGACACGGUCCAGACUCCUACGGGAGGCAGCAGUGGGGAAUAUUGCACAAUGGGCGCAAGCCUGAUGCAGCCAUGCCGCGUGUAUGAAGAAGGCCUUCGGGUUGUAAAGUACUUUCAGCGAGGAGGAAGGCGUUAAGGUUAAUAACCUUGGCGAUUGACGUUACUCGCAGAAGAAGCACCGGCUAACUCCGUGCCAGCAGCCGCGGUAAUACGGAGGGUGCAAGCGUUAAUCGGAAUUACUGGGCGUAAAGCGCACGCAGGCGGUCUGUCAAGUCGGAUGUGAAAUCCCCGGGCUCAACCUGGGAACUGCAUUCGAAACUGGCAGGCUAGAGUCUUGUA
Molecule: ribosomal RNA, 562 nt
Filed under: Enterobacter sp.
Lineage: Bacteria; Pseudomonadati; Pseudomonadota; Gammaproteobacteria; Enterobacterales; Enterobacteriaceae
Description: bacterial SSU rRNA
Rfam family: Bacterial small subunit ribosomal RNA
Source: RNAcentral